Molecule: small nucleolar RNA, 123 nt
Filed under: Dipodomys ordii (Ord's kangaroo rat)
Lineage: Eukaryota; Metazoa; Chordata; Mammalia; Rodentia; Heteromyidae
Description: Small nucleolar RNA SNORA33 (ENSDORG00000025975.1)
Source: RNAcentral
CAGCCAGUGAGUUGGCUUACCUAAAUGUGUAUAUCCAGAGAUUUAGGAAAAGCUGGCAAUGUCGAGAUACUCAAGUCUUAAGGACAAUUAAAGUUGUUAAGAUCCCUGAAAAUGGUUUUAACA